UUGUUCUGUUUUUUUUAUAAAGGAAUGAAUUGUAUGUUAUCUCUUCAAUGGAAUGAAUCUUCAAUGGGGUUCUGUGCAUACUCAAAUUGAGGCAAGUUUUUCUCUUCUGCUUUCUCUUCGCAUGCUAUUCUGUCUGCCUGUCCAUUUUUAUGUCCUUUUCCUCAUUAAUCCAUGCUUCAUAUUUGGAAUUGAAUUUUUUUAAUUAGAUUAUGCAUACGUUAAUUUCUAAUUAUUUGGUUGGCUAAUAUCAUCAUUCUACUUAUGGAGGAGAAUAGAAGAGCUAUCUUCUUUAUUGUCUCAUAAUUUUGUGGCUAAUAUUUGUGGUUGGUACCUAUUGUCCAUUUUUGUUAUUGUGCCCCACAUGGCUUUCAUGUAUUUUUGGGUGAAGUAAAAACAUCUAAGCAUUGCAAAAAUCUCUAUUUUGGUUAACUGGGGUAUAAUUUUGACAAACAUGAUACAAUAUUCAUGAAGGAUCAACUUUUGACUCUUGGAUCAUCUAGUUUAAUACUUUCAGCUAGAUUGGAUGAUUUGUUUGGUGAUUCUGUAAAACUUAGACUUAUUUCUGAAUAUCUUUGUCACAGUGUGUUAGUUCUCUUUCGAUGGAGCUGUCCCUUUCUAUGGAAUUAGGCUCAGAAAAUCUGUAUAAUUAAGCUCAUCACUAGUAUAGAAAGUGGUGAAUUUGUAUGAUUCACCACUCUGUGAAUUUGUACAAUUAUGCUCAUUACUGGUAUAGAAGAACUGCCCCUCCACUCAGAAAAUUUGUAUAUUUAGGGUCUGGAAUAGUAUGCAGUGAAUUUCAACUCUUUCAACUCUUUCACUAACCAAUCUUCAACUUUCCUUUGAUUAUUACUUGAAGAACUGGAUUAAUUGUCAUAUCUGAAAGCGCAGCUUGUCCUUUGAAAUUCUUGAGCAAUUCUUCUCUGUGGUUCUGAUGUCUACUUCCUUUCUUGAGCAAUGAGGAAGAAAAAGGAGCCAACCAGUUCACUGCCUCAGUGAAGAGGUUGUUCAGAAAAUGCAAAUGAGAAUGAAGCACCAGUGGAGAGCAUUGCUUGUAAAUGAGGGUUUGCAACAAAUUGAAUUUAUUCUUUGUUUAGCAAAAAAAGAAAAGACAAGGUUCGAAAGAGGGUGAAAAAAGGCGUGAUGAUCCUAAAUGGCUCAACUUCACAUUCCCUGCUUGCAUAAUGGAUACUUCAAAUGCCCCAUUCCCUUUAUUCUGAAAUUGCAGCUAAAUUCUAAUACUUUGUUGUAAGAAAAUACUUAAAGCAUUUGGAUAGAAUGAAUUUGAUUCUUGCAUUUACCAAUUAUGAAGGAUUGAAUUGUAUUUGUGUAGUCUCAAUGUAAUAAAAUUGUUCUAUGGUUUUCUCUCCA
This is a non-coding RNA of Prunus avium (sweet cherry), 1368 nucleotides long. The record is from RefSeq and is a predicted model, not a curated record. Lineage: Eukaryota; Viridiplantae; Streptophyta; Magnoliopsida; Rosales; Rosaceae.